GCGGUGGUAGCUCAGUCGGGUAAGCACCAGCUUCUCUCGCCAGAGAAGCGGGUUCGAAUCCCGGCGCCUACAUGUA
This 76-nucleotide transfer RNA is filed under the name Plutella xylostella (diamondback moth). RNAcentral's name for it is "tRNA-Glu". Lineage: Eukaryota; Metazoa; Arthropoda; Insecta; Lepidoptera; Plutellidae. The record is from RNAcentral.